UCCCUCUCGGAAUCGCACCUGGGGAGUUUCUAGUACUCUUCUAGUCUCAGAUAUGGGAGGGAGAGCCAAGAAGAGGCCAUCCCAUUCCAUUCCUGGCUUGGGCAGUGGCUAGUGACUGGAAGACAAUCUCCUACAAGU
Molecule: small nucleolar RNA, 138 nt
Organism: Tachyglossus aculeatus (Australian echidna)
Lineage: Eukaryota; Metazoa; Chordata; Mammalia; Monotremata; Tachyglossidae
Source: RefSeq, a predicted model, not a curated record